RNAcentral lists this small RNA (131 nucleotides) under Garciella nitratireducens. RNAcentral's name for it is "c-di-AMP sequence". It matches the Rfam family "c-di-AMP riboswitch aptamer (ydaO/yuaA leader)". From Rfam's summary of the family: This family represents a conserved RNA structure found upstream of the ydaO and yuaA genes in Bacillus subtilis and related genes in other bacteria. Lineage: Bacteria; Bacillati; Bacillota; Clostridia; Eubacteriales; Eubacteriaceae. The record is from RNAcentral.
AAUCUGCAACUGCUGAAUCCUAUGAUUAUAGGUACGGAGGAACCAUGCUAAGGGGUUAAUCCAUUUAUGGUAGGGGGUCUCCUCCCCCGAACCCGUCAGCUAACUUCGGAAGCAAAUUAUAGAAAGGAGUG